UGGGGAAUAUUGGACAAUGGGCGCAAGCCUGAUCCAGCAAUGCCGCGUGAGUGAUGAAGGCCUUAGGGUUGUAAAGCUCUUUCGCACGCGACGAUGAUGACGGUAGCGUGAGAAGAAGCCCCGGCUAACUUCGUGCCAGCAGCCGCGGUAAUACGAAGGGGGCUAGCGUUGUUCGGAAUUACUGGGCGUAAAGGGCGCGUAGGCGGCCUGUUUAGUCAGAAGUGAAAGCCCCGGGCUCAACCUGGGAAUAGCUUUUGAUACUGGCAGGCUUGAGUUCCGGAGAGGAUGGUGGAAUUCCCAGUGUAGAGGUGAAAUUCGUAGAUAUUGGGAAGAACACCGGUGGCGAAGGCGGCCAUCUGGACGGACACUGACGCUGAGGCGCGAAAGCGUGGGGAGCAAACAGGAUUAGAUACCCUGGUAGUCCGCGCCGUAAACGAUGAAUGCUAGACGUCGGGGUGCAUGCACUUUCGGUGUCGCCGCUAACGCAUUAAGCAUUCCGCCU
RNAcentral lists this ribosomal RNA (502 nucleotides) under uncultured bacterium. RNAcentral's name for it is "partial 16S ribosomal RNA". It matches the Rfam family "Bacterial small subunit ribosomal RNA", at positions 355 to 874 of the family's 1533-position model. The record is from RNAcentral.